Molecule: long non-coding RNA, 215 nt
Filed under: Homo sapiens (human)
Lineage: Eukaryota; Metazoa; Chordata; Mammalia; Primates; Hominidae
Description: non-protein coding lnc-IRF4-10:3
Source: RNAcentral
UGUGCUGUGCUUCUCGUUAACCUCCUGCAAAUCUAAUAUAAUGGAGACACAGAACAUAAUAGUAGAUGCUGAGUUGGAGUGAGAUCCAAGGUUUUGGAGCUGAGGAAGUUGAAGCCAUUGAAAAACGGCUUGUAAUACUUGGCAUGUAUGCUUGAGACAUGCUUGUUCACCAUGGUGCCAAUUUAAAAGUCAUAGCUAAUUGCAUGCAUUUAUAA